Long non-coding RNA from Brienomyrus brachyistius, 986 nucleotides. RefSeq lists it as uncharacterized. The transcript has 3 exons. The record is from RefSeq and is a predicted model, not a curated record. NCBI's taxonomy places the organism in Eukaryota, Metazoa, Chordata, Actinopteri, Osteoglossiformes, Mormyridae.
UUCUCAACCCACCGUGAGCCGAAUUAUGCCACACGUUUUACAUGCAAUUAUAUCACUUACAUCACAGUACAUUACGUUUCCAAAUACCGCAGCGGAAAGGACAAAAAUUAUGACCGAUUUCUACAACAUCGCAGGAUUUCCAAGUGUAAUAGGGGCAGUUGACUGCACACAUGUUGCCCUGAAAGCUCCUACUGCUGAUGAAUUUGCAUUUGUAAAUAGAAAAGGUUAUCACUCCAUUAACGUGCAGGUAAUCUGUGAUGCACACUUGAUCCUGCUAAAUGUCGUUGCGAACAGGCCGGGAGGGACACACGAUUCCUUCAUUGUGCAGAACAGCAUCGUGGGACUUCGUCUUCAGCAAAGCGCUGCUGGAGAAGGCUGGCUUAUUGGUAAGUGUGUAACGAUUAGAUUACUUCGCAACACCAUCCAGUGUACUGUAUUUUAUGUUAAUCUACAUCAUUGCAGGGGAUCGAGGAUAUGCCCUUAAAUCCUGGCUGAUGACCCCAGUGGCAAACCCUGUAUCCCAAAAGGAGCUGAAUUACAACCGAGCACAUGAGCGCACAAGAAGCACAGUAGAACGUGCAAUAGGCUUGCUGAAGGCUCGAUGGCUGUGUCUGUCAGGCAGAGGAGGCAUAUUGCAAUACAAACCCGACAAGGUGUGCUAUAUCGUUAAAGCAUGCAGUGUGCUGCACAAUAUUGCCAUUAAAAACGGUAUACCACUGGAUGAGAUGCCAAUACAAGAAGAUCGCCACAUGGCAGAAGGUUUUGACCCCAUGCCAAAUGCUGUGGCCGUGCAACUAAGAGCAGGGAUAAUCGAACGGUUCUAAAUCUGUUUCACAAUAAGGAGUAAUUGUGAGAAAAUGAACCGCAUCAGUCAGGACUCGUGCCUCGAGACGCAUCGGACGUGCUGAAGUGGCAGGCGGAGCAGGACCUGGCAAAACUGGCAGAUCUAUAAAAUAAAUGUUACAUGAACAAUCCAAAUCAUUUGC